UGGGGAAUUUUGCACAAUGGGCGCAAGCCUGAUGCAGCGACGCCGCGUGAGGGAUGAAGGCCUUCGGGUUGUAAACCUUUUUCGCUCAUGGUCAAGCCGCAGCUUUGGGUUGUGGUGAGGGUAGUGGGUAAAGAAGCGCCGGCUAACUACGUGCCAGCAGCCGCGGUAAUACGUAGGGCGCGAGCGUUGUCCGGAAUUAUUGGGCGUAAAGGGCUUGUAGGCGGUUGGCCGCGUCUGCCGUGAACUCCUCUGGCUUAACUGGGGGCGUGCGGUGGGUACGGGUUGACUUGAGUGCGGUAGGGGAGACUGGAAUUCCUGGUGUAGCGGUGGAAUGCGCAGAUAUCAGGAGGAACACCGGUGGCGAAGGCGGGUCUCUGGGCCGUUACUGACGCUGAGGAGCGAAAGCGUGGGGAGCGAACAGG
RNAcentral lists this ribosomal RNA (422 nucleotides) under Verrucomicrobiota bacterium. RNAcentral describes it as "Verrucomicrobia bacterium partial 16S ribosomal RNA". It matches the Rfam family "Bacterial small subunit ribosomal RNA", at positions 355 to 776 of the family's 1533-position model. Lineage: Bacteria; Pseudomonadati; Verrucomicrobiota. The record is from RNAcentral.